AGGACGAACGCUGGCGGCGUGCUUAACACAUGCAAGUCGAGCGGAAAGGCCCUUCGGGGUACUCGAGUGGCGAACGGGUGAGUAACACGUGGGUGAUCUGCCCUGCACUUUGGGAUAAGCCUGGGAAACUGGGUCUAAUACCGAAUAGGACCACGGGAUGCAUGUCCUGUGGUGGAAAGCUUUUGCGGUGUGGGAUGGGCCCGCGGCCUAUCAGCUUGUUGGUGGGUGAUGGCCUACCAAGGCGACGACGGGUA
Molecule: ribosomal RNA, 254 nt
Filed under: uncultured bacterium
Lineage: Bacteria
Description: partial small subunit ribosomal RNA
Rfam family: Bacterial small subunit ribosomal RNA
Source: RNAcentral